This 484-nucleotide unclassified non-coding RNA is filed under the name Bombus terrestris (buff-tailed bumblebee). Its description in RNAcentral is "misc RNA ENSBTSG00005024538.1". The record is from RNAcentral. Lineage: Eukaryota; Metazoa; Arthropoda; Insecta; Hymenoptera; Apidae.
UUCGUAUUUCCGCCGGCUGGAAUCCAGACACUCGGCCGUAGUACAGCGUGCAGCUGCGCGGUCGGAAUUCUUCGCAUAAAUUGUGCAUGUGUGCACGUUCGUGAAAGAGCGUGGGCGGUUGGAAGCUGAAUUGGUGGGGUUGCAGACCCCUGGCGAACCUCGUGGUGUGCCGCGUGUCCGUGCGCACAGCGCAGCGUGGAUAAAUAAUCGCGGAAAUCUCGGUGCAGAUAUAGCUAGACGGUGUGGUGAGUGAGACGUAAAUGGAGAUUCAACCUGAUUCCGCAUCGAUUUCUAUCUGACGCGGGUAUCAGUUCUCCAGCGACGUCGCCGGGCCAGCUGUGCGAACCGCGUUUUCGCAUUUUGUCAUAAGCACGGAGAAUAGAGGGAGGAGAAGGAGAAGAUUGGCAAUGAAGACGGUCGAGAAUGUAUGGUUGCAGUGGGAAAAAAGAAGGAAAAUGGACGAUACUUCAUUUCCGCUGCAAGG